AACGAACGCUGGCGGCAUGCCUAACACAUGCAAGUCGAACGAGACCUUCGGGUCUAGUGGCGCACGGGUGCGUAACGCGUGGGAACCUGCCCUUAGGUUCGGAAUAACUCCCCGAAAGGGGUGCUAAUACCGGAUAAUGUCUUCGGACCAAAGAUUUAUCGCCUUUGGAUGGGCCCGCGUUGGAUUAGCUAGUUGGUAGGGUAAAAGUCUACCAAGGCGACGAUCCAUAGCUGGUCUGAGAGGAUGAUCAGCCACACUGGGACUGAGACACGGCCCAGACUCCUACGGGAGGCAGCAGUGGGGAAUAUUGGACAAUGGGCGAAAGCCUGAUCCAGCAAUGCCGCGUGAGUGAUGAAGGCCUUAGGGUUGUAAAGCUCUUUUAACCGGGAUGAUAAUGACAGUACCGGGAGAAUAAGCUCCGGCUAACUCCGUG
This 433-nucleotide ribosomal RNA is filed under the name uncultured bacterium. RNAcentral's name for it is "partial 16S ribosomal RNA". It matches the Rfam family "Bacterial small subunit ribosomal RNA", at positions 29 to 507 of the family's 1533-position model. The record is from RNAcentral.